RNAcentral lists this ribosomal RNA (253 nucleotides) under uncultured bacterium. Its description in RNAcentral is "partial 16S ribosomal RNA". It matches the Rfam family "Bacterial small subunit ribosomal RNA", at positions 524 to 776 of the family's 1533-position model. The record is from RNAcentral.
UACGGAGGGAGCUAGCGUUGUUCGGAAUUACUGGGCGUAAAGCGCACGUAGGCGGCUUUGUAAGUUAGAGGUGAAAGCCCGGAGCUCAACUCCGGAACUGCCUUUAAGACUGCAUCGCUUGAAUCCAGGAGAGGUGAGUGGAAUUCCGAGUGUAGAGGUGAAAUUCGUAGAUAUUCGCAAGAACACCAGUGGCGAAGGCGGCUCACUGGCCCGAUACUGACGCUGAGGCACGAAAGCGUGGGGAGCAAACAGG